Molecule: ribosomal RNA, 422 nt
Filed under: uncultured archaeon
Lineage: Archaea
Description: partial 16S ribosomal RNA
Rfam family: Archaeal small subunit ribosomal RNA
Source: RNAcentral
CUACGGGCCGCUGCAGGCGCGAAACCUUUACAAUGCACGCAAGUGUGAUAAGGGAAUCCCUAGUGCUCAUGUACUGCAUGGGCUUUUGCUAAGUGUAAAUAGCUUGGCGAAUAAGUGGUGGGUAAGACUGGUGCCAGCCGCCGCGGUAACACCAGCGCCACGAGUGGUAACCACGUUUAUUGGGCCUAAAGCGUCCGUAGCCGGUUUGGUAAAUCUUUUGUGAAAUUGUUCAGCUUAACUGAACAGCGUGCAAGAGACACUGCCAAACUCGAGGCCGGGAGGAGUCAGAAGUAUUCCAGAGGGAGCGGUAAAAUGUUAUAAUCUCUGGAGGACUACCUGUGGCGAAGGCGUCUGACCAGAACGGAUCUGACGGUGAGGGACGAAAGCCAGGGGAGCGAACCGGAUUAGAUACCCCAGUAGUC